Molecule: ribosomal RNA, 1551 nt
Filed under: metagenome
Description: bacterial LSU rRNA
Rfam family: Bacterial large subunit ribosomal RNA
Source: RNAcentral
CUCCAAGGCUGAACACUCUCCUGUGACCGAUAGCGAACCAGUACCGUGAGGGAAAGGUGAAAAGCACCCCGAGAGGGGAGUGAAACAGUACCUGAAACCGUGCGCCUACAAGCAGUCGGAGCCCCCGAGCGGGGUGACGGCGUGCCUUUUGUAGAAUGAGCCAGCGAGUUGCGGUAUGCGGCGAGGUUAAGGUUUGAACCGAGCCGCAGUGAAAGCGAGCCUUUAAGAUGGCGAUAGAGUCGCAUGCUGCAGACGCGAAGCCGGGUGAGCUAUCCAUGGGCAGGCUGAAGCGGGGGUAAGACCCCGUGGAGGGCCGAACCCACUUCGGUUGAAAACGGAGGGGAUGACCCGUGGAUAGGGGUGAAAGGCCAAUCAAACCCGGAGAUAUCUCGUUCUCCCCGAAAUAGCUUUAGGGCUAGCCUCGGCCGUUCUCCGACGGCGGUAGAGCACUGGAUCGUCGAGGGGGCUUCACCGCCUACCGACACGAACCAAACUCCGAAUGCCGCCGGAUCAGAGGCCGGGAGUCAGAACAUGUGGGCUAAGCUGUGUGUUCGAGAGGGAAACAGCCCAGACCGCCCGCUAAGGUCCCCAAAUCCAUGCUGAGUGGCAAAGGAUGUGCGUUUGCCUAGACAACCAGGAUGUUGGCUUAGAAGCAGCCAUGCAUUUAAAGAGUGCGUAACAGCUCACUGGUCAAGUGGACAUGCGCCGACAAUUCACGGGGCUAAGCAUGGUACCGAAGCGGCGGACUAAUCUAUAUUAGUGGUAGGGGAGCUUUCCCCGCAGCGGAGAAGCCGAGAGGGCGACCCUCGGUGGAGCGCGGGGAAGUGAGAAUGCUGGCAUGAGUAACGAGAGCGGCGCGAGAAACGCCGCCGCCGUAAGCCUAAGGGUUCCUGGGCAAGGCUAAUCCUCCCAGGGUCAGUCGGGAGCUAAGGCGAGGCCGAGAGGCGUAGCCGAUGCGCAACAGGCGGACAUUCCUGUACCGCCUGCGGACCGCUAUCACCGACGGGGUGACGGAGAAGGGUAGCCGAGCGGGGUUCUGGACGUCCCCGUGAAAGCGCGUAGGGAGCAUCGCAUGGAAAUCAGCGGCGCAUAUAUCCUGAGACGCGAGACGAAAGCUUAUGCUGAAGUCGGCGAGCCCAUGCUUCCGAGAAAAACCUCUAGGAAGGGACGCAGGCGCCCGUACCAAAACCGACACAGGUGGGCAGGUAGAGCAUACCGAGGCGAUCGGGAGAAACAUGGUUAAGGAACUCGGCAUACUGACUCCGUAACUUCGGGAGAAGGAGUGCCCCUGGCGGUGACGGGACUAGCUCCCCGAGCGGCCGGGGGUCGCAGCGAAACGGCCCAAGCGACUGUUUAUCAAAAACACAGGACUCUGCAAAGCCGUAAGGCGACGUAUAGGGUCUGACGCCUGCCCGGUGCUGGAAGGUUACGCGGAUGGGUCAGCCGCAAGGCGAAGCUCUGAAGCCAAGCCCCAGUAAACGGCGGCCGUAACUAUAACGGUCCUAAGGUAGCGAAAUUCCUUGUCGGGUAAGUUCCGACCUGCACGAAUGG